Molecule: RNA transcript, 6296 nt
Organism: Siniperca chuatsi (mandarin fish)
Lineage: Eukaryota; Metazoa; Chordata; Actinopteri; Centrarchiformes; Sinipercidae
Gene: tmem115
Gene name: transmembrane protein 115
Exons: 7
Source: RefSeq, a predicted model, not a curated record
UUCACCGAUUGUUGAUGACGGUCGCAGACAGAGCAGGUCAGUAGCUUAAUGUUGUUACUAGGAGGAGUACCUGCCAAGAUAAUAUAAUUUACUCCGGCGACCUGGUUUCAAAAGAGGGACGAACAAUAACAUAAACGAAUGAAGCUUAGGUAGUAUGAAAAACCUGCUAAGUAUACACGAAUUGACGGUGGUUCAGAAGCGUCUCUAACAUUGUUUUGAGGGCCUGUACCUUGCUACGGGAAAUCCUCGGGCUCGCCCGGUAGAUACCGGGCCGAGAACGCGCAGAGGACCAGGACGGAAGCUCCGUGGGCUAGUUAGAACGAUCAGGUUUUACGGAAGCUAGUGGCCCUAUUUUGUAGUUAAACGAAGACGUAACCUCUCCUGCUCCUUCGUGGCGGUUAUAAAUCAGCGUAACAUUAAGUCAAGACUCUUUCAGUUUGACAGCUAACGUUAGCUAACAUUAGCUCUCCUGUGUUUACAAGCUAACUCAAACGAGAUCCUCUGAAGAAGUUGGCACUUAGGUAUAUUUGUGUCAGUUAGGAUUUGCAUAUUUGGCUCGUACCACUUGCCUGCUAGCUGCUGGUGAUUUUAAGCUUGUUCUACUUUGUCUACGCCGACUGAAAGUCGCCAGCUAGGCAGCUUGAUCAGAAGGUCUGAAAGACAUUAUCCUGGAUGAAGGCUCACAGAGAAGUGUGGAUUUUGAUGCUGUCAGGACAUACAGGUGUCACCAGUUCUGCUUGGCAUUAUUAAUCUCACACCAGCAUCCAACAUCUGCUGAACCAGAAACAACUGACCUGCUGUUUCGCUCUCUUGAGCUAAUUUGCUCAAAAAGGAUCGUCUUCAAAACAGACCACAAUGAAUCGUUACCUUCCAGUGGCACGACAGCACUUCCUGGCUGCCCUUGCCAGCACCAGUGUGGUAGUAAAAACUGUAAGUGCAGUGGUGGUUCUCCUCUAUCUGUUGUCAUGGGCCGUUGACACUCCAUAUGCACUGGGGGUGACCCCGGGCUACCUCUUUCCACCCAACUUCUGGGUGUGGACACUGGUGACCCAUGGGGUGGUAGAGCUGCAUGUCUGGGGUGUGGCGGCCAAUGUGGGGACAGUUAUGGCCUGCGGGCGCCUGCUGGAACCUCUGUGGGGCGCUCUGGAGCUCCUGAUCUUUUUCGCAGUGGUCAAUGUCUCUGCAGGCCUCUUGGCAGGCUUCUGCUACUUCCUCACCUAUGUUGGCACUUUUGACUUGGACUUCUUGUUUGCUGUGCGUGUCCACGGAGCAGCCGGGUUCCUGGGAGGUGUCCUGGUGGCGCUGAAGCAGACUAUGGGGGAUACUACAGUGCUCAGAGUGCCACAGGUGAGACUCAAAGCAGCACCGGCUUUGGUCCUCCUCCUCCUGGCCUUACUGCGCCUGUCUGGGCUGUUCAACAGCUCUGCCUCCCUGGCUGCAUACAGCUACGGUGCCCUGUCCGGCUGGGUCUACUUGCGCUUUUACCAGAGGCACAGCCGGGGCCGCGGGGACAUGUCGGACCACUUUGCAUUUGCUAGUUUCUUCCCAGAGGCGCUGCAGCCGGCCGUGGGGCUGCUGGCGGGGCUGGUCCACUCCGCCCUGGUGAAGAUGAAAUUGUGCAGAAAGAUGGUGAAGAGAUAUGACGUGGGGGCACCCUCUUCCAUCACUAUCAGCCUGCCAGGCACGGACCCACAAGACGCAGAGAGGAGGAGACACGUCCAGCCUGAUGCACUUUCUGGUCUUUUCACGGGGUUUCCGCUUGACGAUUGCCAUCAAAGUAUCGAACAGAGAUAGAAAGUAAUUCAGAGAAAAGGAGACAGAAGGAGAGACUAGAAAGGAGACAGAGAGAAGAGAGACAGGAAGAAGGAGACAGAGGACGAGUCAGAAUGGGAGACCAGAAGAAAAGAGACAGGAAGGAGAAAGAAGACAAGAAUGGGAGACCAGAAGAAAAGAGACAGGAAGGAGAAAGAAGACAAGAGAGUUAAAGUACGGAAUGUAGAUGCCAUUUGAGGAAAUGGGAGAGGAAGAUGAGAACAUUUACAACCUCAGCCACCCAGACACACCUAUGACUGUGCUUGGAUAAACUUUAGGUAGUGGCACUGUCAUUGCCUUACUGCUCGGACCCCAGACCGUGGGAUGGCAUCAAGAGGGGGACUAUUGAAGAGUACUUCAGGCUUCUCACUGCCACCCUGGAGGAGCACGAGUUGAGGGAGAAGCCCCGUCAGAUCUACAACUGCAAUGAGACAGGGUUUCAGAUGGACUCAGCUAGGAGACAGGUCAUUAUCAUCAUGUGCCUGUUACCACACAUGUCCCACAUCCUGCAGCCUCUGGAUGUGAGUGUCUUCGGACCCUUGAAGGCAGAUUUCUCUGGUCUUAUCCCCAAUCUCCAGAAUCCACCUGCCCCUCCACCUCCCAGUCCCUACCUCACCCAUCCCCUGGUAACAUCUCCUGGCCGAGAUCAACUACGCCUGCAACACUGGCAAGGGCAGGAGGAAUGCCACCAAGACCAGGUUACUCUGCCAUUUACAGCUUUUCACUAAUAAAAUCUCAGGUUGUAGCCCAAGCUCUGCCCAGAAGAGACAGAGAGAGAGAGCGGGCUGAGAACACCAGCCCGGCAGCCACCUUUCUACUCUGCCUGCUGGCUCCCGCCCCGGCCGCAGAAGAAGAGUGCCCCUAGGGGCUGCUCCUGCCACCAGCUCCAGCCAUUCAUUGCCUGUCCCUCAGCCUGCUCUGUGCCCCUCUUGUGCCUCCCACAGUCACCGGCUGCCUGCCCCCAGCAGCACACCAUCCCAGUGAGCCUGCCUGCUCAGGAAAAUUGCCAUCUUUCCCCAUCUCCUGCCUCCCCACCCGCAGCAGAGCGCCUCCAGCACUUCUUUAUUGUCCAACUCCUCCUCGUCUGCUGGACCCAUGACAUCCACCGGUCACACCGCUGGAAAGAGAGGACAGGAGCCAACAGUUUAGUGGUGUGGCCGGUGCAGGAAACCUGACCCUUCGGAAAGUUCAGAGUGAUUGGUGUAGUGGGUCCACUGCCGCAAAUAGUUUCACACAAUUUGUGUGGGCUGAAAGGAGGAGCUUUUAUAGGAGACAAUUAUUUUUGGUGUUAUUGGUGUCUAGAUGUUUGAUUUUAUUUAUUUAUUUAUGUUUUCAUUUUUCGUCUUGUCUUAUUUAACAAAAUGUGUGUUAUCUAUUAAAUAUUUUCAUGACCUUUCAAUUAUUUUCUCUAGUCAUCUGUCUUUUGAUUCCAAAAAUUACCAAUUAUUGCUUGAACAUUUAUGUUUAUAGUUAUAGUAUAAAUCUUACUCUGCACUAAGUGUGUAUUAUAGGUAAUUGUUACAGUAAAAGGUAAAGUUUAAUGCAUCAGCAGGUAUUUUGCAAGGGAUUGAAAUGAGAAGAGAGUUUAACAAAACAUCUAGCAGGUGGUGCUACACACAUUAGUAGCUAAAGGGAAAUUUUAAUAGUAUGUUUGCUAAAAAGGAAACGGUUACGUUUGGGUUACCCUCACAAGGCUCAGCCUCUGGACCUGAGACAGACUUUUUGGACUCACCGAUAGCACCCUCACCCUGUAAAGCCCCAGUGCAUGCAUUGCUCGUCUCCCUUUUUUACUCAGCCAUCUUGAGGACAGUCACAGUUACUGUUCAGUCACUGUUCCCCUCGCCAGCUGGCUCGGUUAGGGUAAUUUAUGUUGAGCCUUGAGCUCUUUUAGCUCUGUCAGCACUGCUGCACAGUGAUGCUAUUGUUAGUGCGGCUCACUGCUAGCCACCGCCAUUUUGGCUCAGCCACCUUUGUGUUAGCUUGUGACGUCAGAGGUGAGAGGCGUGUGCGGGCAAUUCCAGCCAAGACACAAAAUGGCAACCACAACACUACAGCAGCCAGGUUGUGUUCCAGCCAAACUAGCCCGCAGCCCACUAGAGUGAGCGCUUCCUCAUCGGGUGGGAAACCCUCGUGCUCUGCAUUUACAGUGAAUGAGCAUCUCAUUAGCUAGCUGCUUGCUGCCAUUCCUCAAUGCGCGCGGUCCGAGCAGGGGGUACGCGAGCUAGCGGAAAUCACCGCCAUUUGGCUCAGCCACUUCCAUGUCUGCUUGUGGUGUCAAAGGUUGGAGCCGAGUACAUGCUAUCCCGACCAGCCUUGCGGCUCCAAAGGAAAAUGGUGACGAAAGACCCAGCUGGUCAGUGUUUUUUCUUCACUGAGUGUGCACAGUAGAGUAAGCAAGUAGUGGGUGCCUCUCCUAGCCCCAAAAGGAAAUUCACCCCGUCGUUCCCCAUGGCCGGCUCGCCGAGGGACGAAGCAAGGGAUGUGGCGUUGUCAUUGUUAGCUUUAGCCACUUCCCUGUGCUUUCUGCCAGGGCCCCCCCAUGUGCUCCCUCCCACGACGGGAGGGUCAGUUCUAGCUCUACCUCCCAUCGCCCUGCCUCUCACGGAUUGUUACUCGGUGUGUGCGGCUCGGUGGCUUCCUUUCCACUUGGCUAGACAGGGCACUGCGAAGGGGCUACGCAUUGCAAUUCUGCCGCAAGCCCCCUCCUUUCAGCGGCAUAAUUCAGACACCUCUCACCAUCCCCGCUGAAAGGGCGACCUUGGAGGAGAAACUGGCCACGCUCAUCUGAACGCUCCUGGAUGCGUUAGCCCACCAGGUUUGACCUCCCAGCCUGCUCUAUGCCUUCCCGCCCUCGCACCUGAUGAUGCAGCUGCUCCACAGAGUUCGGACACAGCAUCUGUCUGGGUGCCAGGUGGUUCUCAGACCUGGUUCAACUAGAAAUGGCAAUACUGGCCACAGAUCUGUGUCAGGCAGGGGGCGCCGUCUUCUCGCAUCUGAUCCUGGACCUUAGUCCCUGGUUUAGGGUUAUUUGCCUGAGGACUUUCUUCCCCCCUCCUCACGCUGACGGGGAGGAGGAGCGCCUGCACACUUUGUGUCCUGUGUGCAUACUCUGCUGUUAUGUGGAGCGCACGGUGGCUUUCAGGAAGUCCGACUGGCUGUUCGUCUGCCACAGCGGUCCGGCUCAAGGGGCCCUUCUGUUUGUGCAGUGGUUCACUCACUGAAUCUGUGAUGCAAUCUGCAGGAGUUAUGAGGCGAUGUAUUGCACUCCUCCGGUGGGCCUGAGGGAACACUCCACUAGGGGCAUUGCAUCCUCAUUGGUGCUUUUCAGGGGUGUCUCAGUGGAAGACAUCUGUCUGGCCGCCUCCUGGUCUGCCACUUCGACCUUUGCAGGACAUGUCUCAGGGCCAUGACUGCUGGUUCUGUGUCUCAUACAGUGCUUGGUCCACUGUCUCGGGGGACCUUGUCUGGAGCAGACUGAGGUGUUUUUUGAUAGCAUCCAGCUUUGCUGGUGUUAUUGCAGUCCGGCCGAGAACCUCAGGUGGGCUGUGCUCGGCCAUGGGACAACUGUCAUUUUUGGCUUUUGGCAGAGUUUGAACUAGUGCUGGUUUGGGCCCAACUGGGAGUACAUCUCAUCCAUAUGGCCUUCGCCUUAGGUUUUAAUCAAUAGCGAAGCCUGAUAGAGGGUGGAGCACAUACGAAAUAGAUAAUAGAUCAUCGUUACCUGGAUGUAACUUCAGUUAUGUGAACACAUUCGUAGCCCUCUAACCACAAGCCCAGCUGGUCCUAGUUGUUGUUGCUGAGCUUAAGUGGGAGACGAGCAAUAUCAUGCACUGGGGCUUUAUAGGGGGAGGAUGCAAGAAUUCUGUCUCCAGUGCCGAAGCAGAACCUCGUGAGGGUAAACCACAAACGAAGCCCGUUAGAGGGCGGAGCACAUACUCAUAGAACUGGACUUACAUCCAGGUAACUACAAUUUUUAUUUACUCAGGGAAGGUUUGCUGAGCCUCUGUGCUUUUUUUCAGUCAUACUCUUCAAACAGUUCUUAGCUCUACAACACACAAACGUUUAUGCACACACUCACUAACACCUACUCUCAAGCUGUCAGAGGUUAUUUUUCCUCCUGGUCCACUGUAUAGCAGACACACUUCCAAGCUGUCAUACAAAUUCAAUUACAGAUAGAUGUCACUGCUCUCUCUCUCACUCACACACACACACACACACACACACACACACACCCACACCUGUGCUUCUGUAAUUGUCAUAGGGUAAUUUUACUUUUCUUUUUUGAUAUCUCAGUGUUUAGUGUGUGGGGAAAAAAGGUUUGGGCAUCCCGGUAGCCUAAUGAUUAAGUUGCAUACCACAUAACCACAGCGUCGUAGGUUUGAGGUUUGGGGGACCUUUGUUGCAUCUCAUACCCCUUUCUCUCCCUAUGUUUUCUGUGUAUCUACACUGAUUGUCGAAUAAAGUAAAAAAAAAAAAAAAAAAAA